UACAGAGGGGGCAAGCGUUAUUCGGAAUUAUUGGGCGUAAAGGGCGCGUAGGCGGCUUGGCAAGUGGAUGGUGAAAUCCCUCGGCUUAACCGAGGAACUGCCGUCCAAACUGCUUCGCUUGAGACCGGGAGAGGUGAGUGGAAUUCCCAGUGUAGCGGUGAAAUGCGUAGAUAUUGGGAGGAACACCAGUGGCGAAGGCGGCUCACUGGACCGGUACUGACGCUGAUGCACGAAAGCGUGGGGAGCAAACAGG
Molecule: ribosomal RNA, 253 nt
Filed under: uncultured bacterium
Lineage: Bacteria
Description: partial 16S ribosomal RNA
Rfam family: Bacterial small subunit ribosomal RNA
Source: RNAcentral